GCGGCGCGCAGAAUGUGGAUGGGGUAGCCAGGACUAGUGGGUAAAGGACUAGUGCAGAGGGUGUCCCCGUCUGGCCGAAUAACCGCCGUGGCCCGCAGGAACGCCACGUAGCACUAGUCCUGUGAGGCGUCGGCAGCCCCUGGCGACACUGCCCGCGCCAAACCAGGUGGAAAAUCGGGCUGCAAGGGCUUUAUUGUAAUUUGUGACUGAGUUCUUAAAAUUACCCACUUGAUUGCACAUUCUGGCGUUUUGAGAACUUAUACAAAGUGAAACAAUCUGGGCAUUCCCAAAGGCUAUUGUGGACAAAGAGGUAUAGAUGGGGUGUUAUAUUAAUUCCAAUUAGUACCGUUUCAUACUUGUUACUAUCCCAUGGUAUUGAGACCCGGUAGCACUCACCUUCUGCCACUGUUUCUCCACAACCUCAAAUCUAAUUAGAUGCGUUGCCUAAGUGUACUUUUAGUUUAGGGAGGAAUUAUUUUACAGCAAGGUGAAGCCAAAGGAAAAUCACUUGCUAAAUUACCAGAAAUUGGAUUCAACCCAGAUCUCCUAACUUCUAGACAAGUUCUUUUCUCAUUACAUCUAGCAUUCAAAGCCAACUCUUGCACUUUGGCCACCCAAAGUGCAAGGAUUAUAGGCAUGAGCCUCCAUG
This 649-nucleotide long non-coding RNA is filed under the name Homo sapiens (human). RNAcentral describes it as "HSALNT0074388". The record is from RNAcentral. Lineage: Eukaryota; Metazoa; Chordata; Mammalia; Primates; Hominidae.